GGCUUCGUAGCUCAGCUGGUAGAGCAUGCGCGUACAAAGCGUAGGCGGUGUCCAUGCGUGGGUUAAAGCCAGGCUACUGAAAUUUAGCUACAGCGGUGUCCAUGCGUGGGUUCCAAUCCGACCGAGGCUA
RNAcentral lists this transfer RNA (130 nucleotides) under Echinostoma caproni. It matches the Rfam family "tRNA". From Rfam's summary of the family: Transfer RNA (tRNA) molecules are approximately 80 nucleotides in length. Their secondary structure includes four short double-helical elements and three loops (D, anti-codon, and T loops). Further hydrogen bonds mediate the characteristic L-shaped molecular structure. tRNAs have two regions of fundamental functional importance: the anti-codon, which is responsible for specific mRNA codon recognition, and the 3' end, to which the tRNAs corresponding amino acid is attached (by aminoacyl-tRNA synthetases). tRNAs cope with the degeneracy of the genetic code in two manners: having more than one tRNA (with a specific anti-codon) for a particular amino acid; and 'wobble' base-pairing, i.e. permitting non-standard base-pairing at the 3rd anti-codon position. The record is from Rfam by way of RNAcentral. Lineage: Eukaryota; Metazoa; Platyhelminthes; Trematoda; Plagiorchiida; Echinostomatidae.